AACGUAGGUGGCAAGCGUUAUCCGGAUUCACUGGGCGUAAAGCGCUCGCGGGCGGUUUGGUAGGUUGGUUGUGAAAUCUCCCGGCCCAACUGGGAGGGUGCGACCAAAACCAUCAGACUUGAGGGCCAGAGAGGGACACGGAAUUCCCGGAGUAGCGGUAAAAUGCGUUGAUCUCGGGAGGAACACCAGUGGCGAAAGCGGUGUCCUGGCUGGAACCUGACGCUUAGGAGCGAAAGCGUGGGGAGCGAACGGG
Molecule: ribosomal RNA, 253 nt
Filed under: uncultured bacterium
Lineage: Bacteria
Description: partial 16S ribosomal RNA
Rfam family: Bacterial small subunit ribosomal RNA
Source: RNAcentral